This 250-nucleotide ribosomal RNA is filed under the name uncultured archaeon. Its description in RNAcentral is "partial 16S ribosomal RNA". It matches the Rfam family "Archaeal small subunit ribosomal RNA", at positions 474 to 725 of the family's 1478-position model. The record is from RNAcentral.
CACCGGCGUCCCGAGUGGGGGUCACAUAUUGGGUCUAAAGCAUCCGUAGUCGGCCAAGUACAUUCCUUGUGAAAUCGAUGCGCUUAACGCAUCGGCGUGCGGGGAACACGGCUUGGCUUGGAACCGGGAGGGGUAUGCAGUAUUUCUACGGGAGCGGUAAAAUGUGAUAAUCGUAGGAGGACUACCUGUGGCGAAGGCGGCAUACUAGAACGGAUUCGACGAUCAGGGAUGAAGGCUAGGGGAGCAAACC